Molecule: long non-coding RNA, 503 nt
Organism: Salvia splendens (bonfire salvia)
Lineage: Eukaryota; Viridiplantae; Streptophyta; Magnoliopsida; Lamiales; Lamiaceae
Exons: 2
Source: RefSeq, a predicted model, not a curated record
UUCACACGCCUCCCUCAACUCUCUCCCUCUCUCCCACACGCCUCCCUCCCCUCCUUCUCCCUCUCAAGUGCUCCAAAUCGGUUCUUCACAAAUUCGUCAUCGUUGCUUUGAUUUGGAGUUGGAAACUCAAAGAUCCGUUGAAGAAUCAAACCACUCGUCGUUUCUACCGAUUGUUUUUCAAGGGAAAGGGUUAUUGGGCGUACGUGAGUACGAAGAAGCAAGGGUUGCAAUAAAGUUGUGAACUGUGAGCUUUCUUUUACUGAAACUCUUUUACUCUUUCAAAAGUAUGAUUAUGGUGUAAUAAGGGUGAUUUAAAUUGUGAUGCCAUGCCAUGUUUGUUUGAUGAUGAGAUUGUUGCCUAAUGCCUAGAUUGUGUAACACCCGUACCUUAAUUAAGAAGUUAAUUUUCAUGUAACGGAAUAAUUGAUAAAAUUAUUUCGAAAUGUUAUGCUUCCCGAUAAUUGUGUUAUGGAAAAAUUAUGGUUUAUGUGUUGAUGUGAAAA